GACAGCAGCCGCCGCGGUAAUACGAAGGGGGCUAGCGUUGUUCGGAUUUACUGGGCGUAAAGGGCGCGUAGGCGGGCUGAUAAGUCGGGGGUGAAAUCCCAAGGCUCAACCUUGGAACUGCCUUUGAUACUGUUGGUCUUGAGUCCGGGAGAGGUGAGUGGAACUCCGAGUGUAGAGGUGAAAUUCGUAGAUAUUCGGAAGAACACCAGUGGCGAAGGCGACUCACUGGCCCGUUACUGACGCUGAGGAGCGAAAGCGUGGGGAGCGAACAGGAUUAGAGACCCCCGUAGUCCCUGUCUCUUAUAC
RNAcentral lists this ribosomal RNA (306 nucleotides) under uncultured bacterium. RNAcentral's name for it is "partial 16S ribosomal RNA". It matches the Rfam family "Bacterial small subunit ribosomal RNA", at positions 507 to 807 of the family's 1533-position model. The record is from RNAcentral.